UACGGAGGGUGCAAGCGUUGUCCGGAUUUAUUGGGUUUAAAGGGUGCGUAGGUGGCCUUAUAAGUCAGUGGUGAAAGCCUGUCGCUCAACGAUAGGACUGCCAUUGAUACUGUAGGGCUUGAGUAUUGAUGAGGUAGGCGGAAUUGAUAGUGUAGCGGUGAAAUGCAUAGAUAUUAUCAAGAACACCGAUUGCGUAGGCAGCUUACUAAGGAAUAACUGACACUGAGGCACGAAAGCGUGGGGAUCAAAC
This 250-nucleotide ribosomal RNA is filed under the name uncultured bacterium. Its description in RNAcentral is "partial 16S ribosomal RNA". It matches the Rfam family "Bacterial small subunit ribosomal RNA", at positions 524 to 773 of the family's 1533-position model. The record is from RNAcentral.